UGAAAUUGAAGAGGAACAUGGGGAGACAAGUACGAGCUGAAUAAACUUGAGCGGAAAGGUUGCCACAUGUCGCGCCGAUGGUACGCCUUCCCUGCACCCUAAUUUUCAUUAUUUAAUACUUCCUCAGUCUCAAAUUAUUGUCUUAGAUUUGUCUAGAUAGGGCUAAGACGACUAAUUCGGGCGGAGGGAGUAUAUGGCUACUGUCUUUUAAACUCAUACUGGUGUUGAACUAACCAUUGUUAUUUCCUUUCUGGCGUUUCAAGCAGCACCAGGAUGACUGAAGAAAAAGAAGAUCAAUGCCCUGAUGUUGAGUCUUCUUUGCUGUUGUUUCAAACUUUUUGGGACUCUGUCUAGGUCCCUACUCGCUGUCAUUUCUGUACUGCUGCUCUACUUUGGGUUGUUGUAUUCAUUGAUGUUUGAGUAUCUGCGCCUUCGUAUUUUCCGUUGGAGCUACAUCUGUGAUUGUCGGUCUACCGUAUCUAAUCAGAGAUGCAGGGAUUGGGGAUUGUUAUCCUGAAGCGUGGAUACUAACGGACUUAAUGCAUCUGUUCCG
This 553-nucleotide long non-coding RNA is filed under the name Triticum aestivum (bread wheat). RNAcentral's name for it is "long non-coding RNA (TAES_LNC025159)". The record is from RNAcentral. Lineage: Eukaryota; Viridiplantae; Streptophyta; Magnoliopsida; Poales; Poaceae.